This is a long non-coding RNA of Scylla paramamosain (green mud crab), 785 nucleotides long. RefSeq lists it as uncharacterized. The record is from RefSeq and is a predicted model, not a curated record. The transcript has 2 exons. Lineage: Eukaryota; Metazoa; Arthropoda; Malacostraca; Decapoda; Portunidae.
GGAUUGACUGUUAACUCGGCAAUCUCCAAAAUAACACGAGGUACCUUUAAAAUAUAAUGUCCUUUAUCAUAUCCGUCUAUCUAUAUAUCUAUCUAUAUGUAUAAUUUGCAGACUGUGGGAUCAGCUAUUGACUCAGUAACCUCCAGAAUAAAACGAAAUAACUUAAAAAAAAAAAAACAAUAUCCUUUAGGUAAGUCCACAGUUAAAAGCAACUGUUUUCUAUGACUUGUAACCAUGGCAACGGUGUGGGCUGACCGGGAGCACUGCUUUUCUCAGGACAUGCGCAUGGCAAUCAUUCUGGUUGUGUCCUUGACUGUACAGUGUGUGUCCCGUAUUCCUCGUCGCGGCGUCGUGCCCUGGGAUCAGAGGACGCCCGUAUGUGUGGUUGAGUGUAGGCGUAUUAACACAACGAGAGGUGCUUUGCUAGUGACUGAGAUGGACACGUGGCAUGCAAUAUCAUGAGUACCUGGAUUAAUUUAACCAAGCAAGAGGUUAACGACGGCAGAUGUAAACCAGGGCAAUGUUACUCCUUAGCGCAAAUGAGCCGUAUUAUUUUGAUGACCUCUUGUAUCUUACUUUCUUUUGUAAAUUUUGUCAAACACCAGCGUUCCCAUGCCAGCUCAAUUCGUUAUCUGUUGUGUGUCGUGGAAGCUGUUUCAGUCAUUCUCUUUGUGCCUGAAUCACGUUGAGAAUUACUGUGUUGUUUGUUAGUAAGUAGAGGAGUGCUUACCUUGGACAGCACACUAUGCAAAGAAAUACAAACCAAGACUCACUUAAGAGGCUUA